RNAcentral lists this ribosomal RNA (497 nucleotides) under uncultured bacterium. RNAcentral's name for it is "partial 16S ribosomal RNA". It matches the Rfam family "Bacterial small subunit ribosomal RNA", at positions 28 to 507 of the family's 1533-position model. The record is from RNAcentral.
GAUGAACGCUGGCGGCGUGCCUAAUACAUGCAAGUCGAGCGAACGGACGUGAAGCUUGCUUCUCUGAUGUUAGCGGCGGACGGGUGAGUAACACGUGGAUAACCUACCUAUAAGACUGGGAUAACUUCGGGAAACCGGAGCUAAUACCGGAUAAUAUUUUGAACCGCAUGGUUCAAAAGUGAAAGACGGUCUUGCUGUCACUUAUAGAUGGAUCCGCGCUGCAUUAGCUAGUUGGUAAGGUAACGGCUUACCAAGGCAACGAUGCAUAGCCGACCUGAGAGGGUGAUCGGCCACACUGGAACUGAGACACGGUCCAGACUCCUACGGGAGGCAGCAGUAGGGAAUCUUCCGCAAAGGGCGAAAGCCUGACGGAGCAACGCCGCGUGAGUGAUGAAGGUCUUCGGAUCGUAAAACUCUGUUAUUAGGGAAGAACAUAUGUGUAAGUAACUGUGCACAUCUUGACGGUACCUAAUCAGAAAGCCACGGCUAACUACGUG